Molecule: long non-coding RNA, 3536 nt
Organism: Hemicordylus capensis (graceful crag lizard)
Lineage: Eukaryota; Metazoa; Chordata; Lepidosauria; Squamata; Cordylidae
Exons: 3
Source: RefSeq, a predicted model, not a curated record
GAGACUUGCGCGCGCACCCUCAGAGCUUUGUCAACGUUACUAGGAGUCCGGAACCCCGCAGUCAACGUGUGGACUAAUUUGCCGGACGCUGCUGACUCAGCGUUUGUGAGGCCGGCUUGGAAAGAGGCGCCCUCGAGGGCCAGGAGCAGGCCGCGUCUGCCUGCCCUCCAUACUACCCAAUCAGUCUGCGUUUGCUGCUGUGAUGUGCUCGGCUUCCCCUCUUCUCGCCGCCCUGCCUGCCGGUUCUGUCCCUUGGCUCACGCAAGGCUGCGGCUCACGCUACUCCGCUUGGAAGGCUGGCUUUGAGGGCUCAGGGCAGAGAGAAAACGAGGAACCCGAGUCAGCGUAUUAAGCCCUCCCGGCCCCGGGGUGGGUCAAGUGACAGCCGCGGAGGCAGGCAGCAAAGGGCGAAACGCUGCUCAGCCAAACCAGUUUACGCUCUUCCCUCCUGCCCAUCUCUCUCUCUGGUCCUGUUCAGACGCUAUACAGCUCAGAAUGCAGCAAGAACAUAAGAACACAAGUGAGCACCCAUGAAAAAUGGACCCCCUGGACCUGGAGAAGACCCUCCACCGUCAAGGACCCACGCCCAGAGGCUGCAAUUGGCAGAAGAUGACUGGCACGGCCCUGCCAGCCACACGCAAGGUGAGGCUGGGAUCUAUCCCUCCCUUGGACCUUUUGGACUUUCCUCUCACUGAACUCUUUUAACCAGACUCUACCCAAACCCGUAGGAACUCGCGUACAGUGCUAUAUUCUCUCUACCAUUGCAACCACACAUUCGUUAGUACGCGGCCGUGUUUUAUCGGGAAAUUCUAUUCACUGUUGCUUUUGUAAACCGUAUGUUAAACAUUCUCUAAUAAAAGUCAACCCGCUCUUCCUCCGAGGAGCUCAGAAUGGUGUGCAUGAUUAAAGUGGGGGUGUUAUUAGAAGAUGGCCCAUGGGGCUCACUCAAGCCCCCAAUGAAUGGCCCCCAGGGCCCCAAAUCCCAUCUGCCACCUCCUCCUCAAUUGGGGGGGGGGCAGCUGGUUGCUGCCGCUGCUGCUCUAGCAGCAAUGAUUGCUUCUGCCUCCUUCCUAAAAGGAGCUGUGCUGUAAUGGUGGCAAAACAGAUAUCUUAGCCUCCACUACAGCACUUAACUCCUCCAGUUUCCCUUUGGAGAGGAGUCAGACAUAAUUAUUCAAAGGGGGGGCAUGAUUGAGUUUAAUUAUCAAAAGAGGGGGGGCGUGGGCCUGGCCCCUGAAAAAGUGCCUAGCAAUACCCCAGGCUUAAAGGAUCCCUUAGAAGAGAACUGGUUGCAUGCCUGAGUUGUGUGUGUGUGUGGCCAAAUUCCCUCUCCUGCUCUUUAGGACUCAUGCUUCAUGUUCCUAGGGACCAAAUCAGCGGCAGGCAAAUGCUUCCAGCCCAGUCUCCCCUCUCUGGCCAGCUUGUUUUCCUGCUGCCAAUGUUCUCUAGCAGCAAAAACCCUCACAGACCCUUUUGGUUUGGGGGUUUGGGUGGAUACAAGGAUGGUCAUCCUACUCCCAGAUAUUUUUCUCUGGGGAAAGGAAUCUCUACCAAAACUAGAGACCUCUUCUCUCUUGUCAUAUCUGCCCUAGAUGAGUUUGUCUAAUUCUUUUUUUUUUUUUAAGCCACGUAAGCUAGGUUUUCAUGGUCUUUUAGCAAGAUACCAUCACUGCAGCUCUCAGCCCUACAUUCUGGCUGAGCCCUGAGCUUUUUGGAAGGGCGGUAUAAAUUUUUUAAUAAUAAAUAAAUAAAUAAAUAAUAAAUACAUUCACCCCAAAGGAAGUUCACUUCUUCCCUUCCUUCCUGCAGCUGAUCUGCACUGUAAGAAUGCUCCCAGUUUAGAAUUUGACUCUGAAACCUUCCUCUCGCAGCACCAGCCAUUUCUUGGCUACAAUGAAAGUGGAACCGAUUUCUUUUUUUACAUAUAUGUGCUGUUCUAUUCAGAGUUUGCUCUCUCUGGGGAGGAGUGAUUCCAUGAUAGCCACAGCUAUUGAAUUCAUAUGGAUAAGUGGAAGAAGAGACUGAUUGAAACAUCUGGAGCUGGCUGUACCAAACCUUUGCAGGAUUGUACAAGAAUGUCACUGCCUGUUAGCAAUUGCUGUAUGGAGCAUGUGUUCUUCAUAACAGAUAAUACUUGGGCAGAUGAAUGAAACUGAGGUUGUGCACGUGACCAGUACAGGGGCAGGCAGCAGGGGGAGGCAGGGAUGAACCUACCUUCCCCCACAGCCGAUCAACUAUCUCCUCUUCAGUGUGCCACAAGGAACACAGAUCACUGGAGGCCAGGAAAAUGAGUCCCGGCCUCCAGGAAUCCCAAAAUGCACCAGCCGGGCAGCAUAGUGCAUUGGGGGAUUCCCCCGUGAAUUGGGCGCUCUAGGCACCCAAAUCUGCAUUCAGGCCAAGCUCACACACGACUGCAUACCUGGGGCAAAGGGUGCGCCUGGUGCCAAGCGUGACCUCUGCUUUAGAGACAGAGUGGGGAGUGGGAGAAAGAAAUAUGUGGGAUGAGAAUAUGUUAAUUUGCGUGUUGAAAUGUUUCUGCUAAUGCAUAUUUGCAUAAAUAUACCUGUUUAAUAUUCUUACAUUUUUGUGAGUUCAGUUGCUGUUUGUGCCCUCAAGAACCCUCGUGUUAAAAAUACUGCGUGUGUCACGCUGUGUGUGUGUGUAGGGGGAUGAUGCUUAACUUGCAGCUGGGUGGGAUCUGGGAGGCUCCAAAGGCCGUUAGGUCCAGGAUCCAAAAUUACCUAGGUGCACCUCUGAUGUCCUUACUGGCUAAUCCCUGUCCCAGUUGUGACCUUGGCUUCAGCCUUGACUCAAGAGCUCUGCUUGUCAGGGCUGGUGGGCUUCUCAUAAAAUCAUAAUGGAAUCUGAGCAAGCUUCAAAGCAAGAAAAGGGCAGUGAGAAUGUGGCCUGGACUGGGAAACAGCUCACUUACAAGGUUCACAGCAACAGCAGCGGGGGGGGGGGGAGGAAAACAAGUGCCAACCUGAAUUCCAUGUGGGAAUGAGAGACAUCAGCAACCACUGGGCUCUGUCUGACCUAAAUGGCAUUCAGCAUUUUCCAGAAACUUUCUGACAUUUUCCUCACUUGGCACUGUUGAAACUUGCUACUGUUGAAAACAAACGUGUUGGGUCUCUACCCAGACAGAAGUUGUCCAGCCAAAAAUAGCCAUUUCAGAGUCUGUGGAAAAUGUACCUCCAUCCAUACUGAUAUUAUGCAUCCAGAUUUACAAAUGUAAAAGCAGAGCCGGUCUGGUGCAGUGAGACAGUAUCAGAUCUAGAGGACCUGGGUUUCAGUUCCUCAGUCAUGGAUUUGAGGAGGGACCAGAGUUCAGUUACAGAGCACAUUCUUUGCAUGCAUAAGGUCCCAGGUUCUUUCCCACAGAUUUUAGGUUACAGAACUGGAAAAGACCUCCUUGCCUGACAUCCUGAAGAUCUUCUGCCAGUCAGGGUGGACAGUGCUAACCUAGGGGACAAAUGGUCUGACUCAGUAUAAGGCAGCUUCUUAAAUGACUUGUUGCAUUCUUCUACCCAUCAGUC